CUGGAUGGCGAUGGGCAUCAUCUUGCACUCGGGCCCGAAGUGCAGCAGGCAGAGGGGGGCGCAGUUGUGCUGCUUCCGGCCGCUGAGCUCGACGGUGGGGAAGCCCUCCAAGAUGCGGUAGUCGGCCAGAUGAUGGCAGCCCCAGCCAGGGCAGCCUGUGGAUCCCCACUGAGCGCAGGAACGAACAUUGACCAUGGUCUGCACCGGGACUGAGACGCACUGCAGCCCGACAGAGCCUCCAGCCACAUGAAGCUCUGGUCCAUGGCUGGCCCAGGCAGUGGGGGCCUCUUCUCCAGUCCCUUGGACACAUCAGCAAGUGCCAUCGCAACACGUGCUUCCAGAAGGGAGAGGCAGAGAGAAGGAAAUCAGGGGUCUCUGUACCGGCCUGGAGAUGACCCGCAUCCCUUCUGCUCCCACCCAGCCGAAAUUCAUCUCGUGACUCCACCCAUCCACAAGAGGGCCAGAGGCUGAGUCUUCCAAGUCCAGGAGGAGAGCUGGAUUUUGGUGGCAACACUAACAAUUACCCAGACUCUGAGGCUUUACAAAAUACUUACUAUUCCACUUCUUAGUCCUCUGAAUCCAGACUUUCCUUCACCUCCUGAUGACGCUCUCUGGGAGGUGAAGGCAGGAAUACAUGGCUUGACUGAACAGUGGGUUGAGCCAGGACCCUUCUGUCCCCAGAGUGGAUAAUCCAUGGAUUCCUGUCUCCAGAACAGACGACCCACGGAUCCAUUGCUGCCCCCGCACUGCACCCCUCCCACCCUCACCCACUC
Molecule: long non-coding RNA, 773 nt
Organism: Saimiri boliviensis boliviensis (Bolivian squirrel monkey)
Lineage: Eukaryota; Metazoa; Chordata; Mammalia; Primates; Cebidae
Source: RefSeq, a predicted model, not a curated record